CCUGGGAAAGGACAGGAAUGCGUAAGAAAGUCCAAUCCCAGGAAGAAGAUGCUGGUUUCAGAUGACAUCAGACGUGAAUGAGGGGGUGGUCUUCCUGCUUGACUUUUGCAACAAUUAUGUGCUGACUGCUGGACAUAUUUGCUCUCUGAUCAGAUUCAGCCUGCUCCGCCCGGUCGAUGGCGUUCUCCUUAUCCACCUUAAGCAUCUGCAUCUUCUUCUUAAUGGCCUCCAUUCUUCCCUUUGUGCUUUGGGUGUCUGUACUGACAGGGAACUAAGGGGAAACCUGAGGCAGAGAGAGAAAUAACAGAGCUUUUGCUUGUCAGAUGAGGGGAUGAAGUCCACCCGCAAUGACGCCAGAGAGAGGAGGGGGUGUACUAUGAAAUGUAAUGCUGUUGUGGAUGAAGACGAGACCCUCAGACUACCCUGUCUGAACCCCUUCCUUAACACACACACUUUUACAAACACAUUAAAUGUGUGGUUUCCCCUCCCCAACUGCAACCUUUACCCAAGAAAUGUCUCAAAGGCAUCUGAUUCCCAUAUUUGGUCUUCUACUAGAAUCAAGACAAAUCUUCUAGCUAAACAUAACUUGCUUGAAGUCAAAAUAAAACUUAAGCCUAUUUGAA
Molecule: long non-coding RNA, 623 nt
Organism: Misgurnus anguillicaudatus (oriental weatherfish)
Lineage: Eukaryota; Metazoa; Chordata; Actinopteri; Cypriniformes; Cobitidae
Source: RefSeq, a predicted model, not a curated record